CUUUAGUUAGCUAAUUAAGUGUUAGACUCUUAAUCUAAUGAUGAUAAGUAAAUUUUAUCACUAGGGG
Molecule: transfer RNA, 67 nt
Filed under: Florometra sp. BMK-2020
Lineage: Eukaryota; Metazoa; Echinodermata; Crinoidea; Comatulida; Antedonidae
Description: tRNA-Lys
Rfam family: tRNA
About the family: Transfer RNA (tRNA) molecules are approximately 80 nucleotides in length.
Source: RNAcentral